This 459-nucleotide ribosomal RNA is filed under the name uncultured bacterium. RNAcentral describes it as "partial 16S ribosomal RNA". It matches the Rfam family "Bacterial small subunit ribosomal RNA", at positions 338 to 795 of the family's 1533-position model. The record is from RNAcentral.
CCUACGGGAGGCAGCAGUGAGGAAUAUUGGUCACUGGGAGAGAUCCUGAACCAGCCAAGCCGCGUGAGGGAAGACGGCCCUAUGGGUUGUAAACCUCUUUUGUCGGAGAACAAAACCCGGGACGUGUCCCGGCCUGCGUGUAUCCUACGAAAAAUCAUCGGCUAACUCCUUGCCCGCAGCCGCGGUAAUCCUGAGGAUGCGAGCGUUAUCCGGAUUUAUUGGGUUUAAAGGGUGCGUAGGCGGUCCGUUAAGUCAGCGGUAACAUUGCGGGGCUCAACCCCGUCGAGCCGUUGAAACUGGCAGACUUGAGUUGGCGAGAAGUACGCGGAAUGCGCGGUGUAGCGGUGAAAUGCAUAGAUAUCGCGCAGAACUCCGAUUGCGAAGGCAGCGUACCGGCGCCAGACUGACGCUGAGGCACGAAAGCGUGGGGAUCGAACAGGAUUAGAUACCCCAGUAGUC